GAUGAACGCUAGCGGCAGGCCUAACACAUGCAAGUCGAGGGGUAACAGGGAUAGCUUGCUAUCUGCUGACGACCGGCGCACGGGUGCGGAACGCGUAUGGAACCUGCCCCUGUCAGGGGAAUAGCCCAGAGAAAUUUGGAUUAAUGCCCCAUGGUAUCGAAUCACCGCAUGGUGAUUUGAUUAAAGAUUUAUCGGACAGGGAUGGCCAUGCGUACCAUUAGCUAGUUGGUGGGGUAACGGCCCACCAAGGCAGCGAUGGUUAGGGGCCCUGAGAGGGGGAUCCCCCACACUGGUACUGAGACACGGACCAGACUCCUACGGGAGGCAGCAGUGAGGAAUAUUGGACAAUGGCCGAAAGGUUGAUCCAGCCAUGCCGCGUGCAGGAUGACGGCCCUAUGGGUUGUAAACUGCUUUUACACGGGAAGAAACCUCCCCUCGUGAGGGGAGCUGACGGUACCGUGAGAAUAAGGACCGGCUAACUCCGUGCCAGCCGCCGCCGUAACAC
This 505-nucleotide ribosomal RNA is filed under the name uncultured bacterium. RNAcentral describes it as "bacterial SSU rRNA". It matches the Rfam family "Bacterial small subunit ribosomal RNA", at positions 28 to 526 of the family's 1533-position model. The record is from RNAcentral.